RNAcentral lists this ribosomal RNA (497 nucleotides) under uncultured bacterium. RNAcentral describes it as "partial 16S ribosomal RNA". It matches the Rfam family "Bacterial small subunit ribosomal RNA", at positions 28 to 507 of the family's 1533-position model. The record is from RNAcentral.
GAUGAACGCUGGCGGCGUGCCUAAUACAUGCAAGUCGAGCGAACGGACGAGAAGCUUGCUUCUCUGAUGUUAGCGGCGGACGGGUGAGUAACACGUGGAUAACCUACCUAUAAAACUGGGAUAACUUCGGGAAACCGGAGCUAAUACCGGAUAAUAUUUUGAACCGCAUGGUUCAAAAGUGAAAGACGGUCUUGCUGUCACUUAUAGAUGGAUCCGCGCUGCAUUAGCUAGUUGGUAAGGUAACGGCUUACCAAGGCAACGAUGCAUAGCCGACCUGAGAGGGUGAUCGGCCACACUGGAACUGAGACACGGUCCAGACUCCUACGGGAGGCAGCAGUAGGGAAUCUUCCGCAAAGGGCGAAAGCCUGACGGAGCAACGCCGCGUGAGUGAUGAAGGUCUUCGGAUCGUAAAACUCUGUUAUUAGGGAAGAACAUAUGUGUAAGUAACUGUGCACAUCUUGACGGUACCUAAUCAGAAAGCCACGGCUAACUACGUG